CAGGAUGAACGCUAGCUACAGGCUUAACACAUGCAAGUCGAGGGGCAGCAUGGUCUUAGCUUGCUAAGGCCGAUGGCGACCGGCGCACGGGUGAGUAACACGUAUCCAACCUGCCGUCUACUCUUGGACAGCCUUCUGAAAGGAAGAUUAAUACAAGAUGGCAUCAUGAGUCCACAUGUUCACAUGAUUAAAGGUAUUCCGGUAGACGAUGGGGAUGCGUUCCAUUAGAUAUAGGCGGGGUAACGGCCCACCUAGUCUUCGAUGGAUAGGGGUUCUGAGAGGAAGGUCCCCCACAUUGGAACUGAGACACGGUCCAAACUCCUACGGGAGGCAGCAGUGAGGAAUAUUGGUCAAUGGGCGAGAGCCUGAACCAGCCAAGUAGCGUGAAGGAUGACUGCCCUAUGGGUUGUAAACUUCUUUUAUAAAGGAAUAAAGUCGGGUAUGCAUACCCGUUUGCAUGUACUUUAUGAAUAAGGAUCGGCUAACUCCGUGCCAGCAGCCGCGGUAAUACGGAGGAUCCGAGCGUUAUCCGGAUUUAUUGGGUUUAAAGGGAGCGUAGAUGGAUGUUUAAGUCAGUUGUGAAAGUUUGCGGCUCAACCGUAAAAUUGCAGUUGAUACUGGAUAUCUUGAGUGCAGUUGAGGCAGGCGGAAUUCGUGGUGUAGCGGUGAAAUGCUUAGAUAUCACGAAGAACUCCGAUUGCGAAGGCAGCCUGCUAAGCUGCAACUGACAUUGAGGCUCGAAAGUGUGGGUAUCAAACAGGAUCAGAUACCCUGGUAGUCCACACGGUAAACGAUGAAUACUCGCUGUUUGCGAUAUACAGCAAGCGGCCAAGCGAAAGCGUUAAGUAUUC
This 851-nucleotide ribosomal RNA is filed under the name uncultured bacterium. Its description in RNAcentral is "bacterial SSU rRNA". It matches the Rfam family "Bacterial small subunit ribosomal RNA", at positions 25 to 869 of the family's 1533-position model. The record is from RNAcentral.